UACGAAGGGGGCUAGCGUUGCUCGGAAUCACUGGGCGUAAAGCGCACGUAGGCGGCUUUUUAAGUCAGGGGUGAAAUCCUGGAGCUCAACUCUGGAAUUGCCUUUAAGACUGCAUCGCUUGAAUCAUGGAGAGGUGAGUGGAAUUCCGAGUGUAGAGGUGAAAUUCGUAGAUAUUCGGAAGAACACCAGUGGCGAAGGCGACUCACUGGACAUGUAUUGACGCUGAGGUGCGAAAGCGUGGGGAGCAAACAGG
This 253-nucleotide ribosomal RNA is filed under the name uncultured bacterium. Its description in RNAcentral is "partial 16S ribosomal RNA". It matches the Rfam family "Bacterial small subunit ribosomal RNA", at positions 524 to 776 of the family's 1533-position model. The record is from RNAcentral.